RNAcentral lists this transfer-messenger RNA (429 nucleotides) under Chlamydia pecorum E58. RNAcentral describes it as "transfer-messenger RNA Chlam_pecor_E58". It matches the Rfam family "transfer-messenger RNA". From Rfam's summary of the family: Bacterial tmRNA, also known as 10Sa RNA or SsrA, is named for its dual tRNA and mRNA-like properties. Its role is to liberate the mRNA from a stalled ribosome. The record is from RNAcentral. Lineage: Bacteria; Pseudomonadati; Chlamydiota; Chlamydiia; Chlamydiales; Chlamydiaceae.
GGGGGUGUAUAGGUUUCGACUUGAAAAUGAAGCGUUAAUUGCAUGCGGAGGGCGUUGGCUGGCCUCCUAAAAAGCCGACAAAACAAUAAAUGCCGAACCUAAGGCUGAAUGCGAAAUUAUCAGUUUCUCUGAUCUCCUCGUUGAAGAAAGAGUUGCUGCUUAAUUAGCAAAAGUUGUUACCUUGAAUAGUCUCUAGGUAGCCCGGUGCUCACAAGCUCCACCAGAGGUUUGUGAAGCGCCGUCAUUUAUCUGGUUGGAACCAGCUUUCUCUCAUUCUCAAGAAAGCGUGUUCGAGAUUUUUGAGAGUCGUUAGGUAUUCAUAGAUGCUCUUAUCUAAGGUAACUAAUGUAAUAAAACUAAGAGAUAAGCAUGUAGACGUUAACAGGGAGUUUAUCAAGGACGAGAGUUCGAGUCUCUCCACCUCCACCA